ACGGAUGAUCUUGAUCCUUCCGCUUGAACACUUAUUGAAGCCUUCAGCAGCCUGAAAAGGUGGCCUCUGACGACUCAAAACAAUCGAGGCAUCCUUAAAUGCAAGUUGUCACUAUCGCGACAACGCUACUGUCAAACUGCGGGGACAUCCUAACAACCUUGACACCAAGCGUGAUUGGAAACAAUUGCGUGGCCGAGCUAACAGCCCUGGGUAUGGUAACAGUUCAAGAGUUUGAGCCCAUCAGCGAAAUGGAUAAUCCGCAGCGGCAUCCUAACGGGAAGCAUCCCCAUGGAUUGUCGUUCACAGGCCAAAUGUCAGUAGGUAGAACGUUACGUCCUGCCAAGAUAUGGUCGAAACCCCAAGAGAGAUCUUGGGUUUGCAACGAGUCAAAGCCCGACUCGCAGAAUACAUGUUCCGUAGGUGAACCUGCGGAAGGAUCAUU
This 442-nucleotide ribosomal RNA is filed under the name Xanthoparmelia conspersa. RNAcentral describes it as "partial 18S ribosomal RNA". The stretch from base 55 to 375 matches the Rfam family "Group I catalytic intron". Rfam says of the family: Group I catalytic introns are large self-splicing ribozymes. They catalyse their own excision from mRNA, tRNA and rRNA precursors in a wide range of organisms. Lineage: Eukaryota; Fungi; Ascomycota; Lecanoromycetes; Lecanorales; Parmeliaceae. The record is from RNAcentral.